Molecule: ribosomal RNA, 253 nt
Filed under: uncultured bacterium
Lineage: Bacteria
Description: partial 16S ribosomal RNA
Rfam family: Bacterial small subunit ribosomal RNA
Source: RNAcentral
UACGUAGGGGGCAAGCGUUGUCCGGAUUUAUUGGGCGUAAAGAGCGUGUAGGCGGCUUCACAGGUCCGCUGUGAAAACUCGAGGCUCAACCUCGAGACGUCGGUUGAAACCACUUGGCUAGAGUCCGGAGGAGGAGAGUGGAAUUCCUGGUGUAGCGGUGAAAUGCGCAGAUAUCAGGAAGAACACCCGUGGCGAAGGCGGCUCUCUGGGACGGUACUGACGCUGAGACGCGAAAGCGUGGGGAGCGAACAGG